This 406-nucleotide ribosomal RNA is filed under the name uncultured bacterium. Its description in RNAcentral is "partial 16S ribosomal RNA". It matches the Rfam family "Bacterial small subunit ribosomal RNA", at positions 30 to 526 of the family's 1533-position model. The record is from RNAcentral.
AUUGAACGCUGGCGGCAGGCCUAACACAUGCAAGUCGAGCGAGCGGCGGACGGGUGAGUAAUGUCUGGGGAUCUGCCCGAUAGAGGGGGAUAACUACUGGAAACGGUGGCUAAUACCGCAUACUAUCGGAUGAACCCAUAUGGGAUUAGCUAGUAUGUGGGGUAAAGGCUCACCUAGGCGACGAUCCCUAGCUGGUCUGAGAGGAUGACAAGACACACUGGAACUGAGACACGGCCCAGACUCCUACGGGAGGCAGCAGUGGGGAAUAUUGCACAAGGGGCGCAAGCCUGAUGCAGCCAUGCCGCGUGUAUGAAGAAGGCCUUCGGGUUGUAAAGUACGUUCAGCGGGGAGGCGUUACGCGCAGAAGAAGCACCGGCUAACUCCGUGCCAGCAGCCGCGGUAAUUC